GGAUUGUGGCUCAGUGGUAGAGUGUUUGCCUAACAUGUGCAAGGUACUGGGUUCAAUUCUCAGCACCG
This 68-nucleotide transfer RNA is filed under the name Marmota monax (woodchuck). RNAcentral's name for it is "tRNA.Val". Lineage: Eukaryota; Metazoa; Chordata; Mammalia; Rodentia; Sciuridae. The record is from RNAcentral.